This 273-nucleotide ribosomal RNA is filed under the name uncultured bacterium. Its description in RNAcentral is "partial 16S ribosomal RNA". It matches the Rfam family "Bacterial small subunit ribosomal RNA", at positions 524 to 796 of the family's 1533-position model. The record is from RNAcentral.
UACGGAGGGGGCGAGCGUUAUUCGGAAUUAUUGGGCGUAAAGGGCGCGUAGGCGGCUUGAUAAGUCAAAGGUGAAAUCCCUCGGCUCAACUGAGGAACUGCCUUUGAAACUGUCUGGCUUGAGGCCGGGAGGGGGUAGCGGAAUUCCCAGUGUAGCGGUGAAAUGCGUAGAUAUUGGGAGGAACACCGGUGGCGAAGGCGGCUACCUGGACCGGUUCUGACGCUGAUGCGCGAAAGCGCGGGUAGCAAACAGGAUUAGAUACCCCCGUAGUCC